This 292-nucleotide ribosomal RNA is filed under the name uncultured Aquabacterium sp. RNAcentral's name for it is "partial 16S ribosomal RNA". It matches the Rfam family "Bacterial small subunit ribosomal RNA", at positions 505 to 796 of the family's 1533-position model. Lineage: Bacteria; Pseudomonadati; Pseudomonadota; Betaproteobacteria; Burkholderiales; Sphaerotilaceae. The record is from RNAcentral.
GUGUCAGCCGCCGCGGUAAUACGUAGGGUGCGAGCGUUAAUCGGAAUUACUGGGCGUAAAGCGUGCGCAGGCGGUUGUGCAAGACAGGUGUGAAAUCCCCGGGCUUAACCUGGGAACGGCACUUGUGACUGCACGGCUAGAGUACGGUAGAGGGGGAUGGAAUUCCGCGUGUAGCAGUGAAAUGCGUAGAUAUGCGGAGGAACACCGAUGGCGAAGGCAAUCCCCUGGACCUGUACUGACGCUCAUGCACGAAAGCGUGGGGAGCAAACAGGAUUAGAAACCCCAGUAGUCC